This is a long non-coding RNA of Cyprinus carpio carpio, 2373 nucleotides long. Lineage: Eukaryota; Metazoa; Chordata; Actinopteri; Cypriniformes; Cyprinidae. The record is from Ensembl.
GGGCAUUUCAAAACCACAUGCACUCCCAAUCAGUGUGGAUUACUCAAGGCGUGAACAUCCUUUUUUUUUACGCAAAAGUAAAAAGCCCACACCUAAUGACAUUUAUUAUCUGCAAGAAACACGCCCACACCUUCUUCAUCAGGUUGAUGUUGAAAUGUAAACGAGGAGAAACACUGAUGGCCGGUUCAUUUGGCUGACUAUUUUCAUACAAAUUAUACUGGAAAAAGAAAACAUUGAAAGAUAUAUUUAUAAAUAUUUAAUCCUUUUAAACACUCUCAUCUUACAGAAACAAUCUCAACAUGUAUUUCUGGAAAAAUACUUACUUUAUUACCUCAGUCCUGUUGGUAUUUUUUGCAUUCAUGAGACUUGGAGCAAACUCGGAAACAGAACCUACAAUGACAGCUCAAAUAACAUUGACAACAGUUUUGACCCCUAUGAGCACGUCCACAUUAGAAUCAUCUACACUUGAAAGUGGUUCAACACUGGAAGCCACAUUAUUUACAACAGGUACCUCUCCAUCUUCACUGUCUACCACAACAGAACAAAGUACAUCAGAAUUCAUUUCAUCUACAACAGAAGUAUUGUCAUCUAAUGUAGAACAAACAAGUCAUCUAACACAAAUCACUCAGUUUCCUUUUAUCACAGAAUCAGAAUCUACAACGACAGCUCAAUCAACAUUAACAACAGUUAUGUUCCCUACGAGCAUGUCCACAUUAGAAUCAUCUACAACUGAAAGUGGUACAACAGUGAAAACGACAUUAUUCACAACAGAUAUGUCUCCAUCUUCACUGUUUUCUACAACAAAAGGACAAACUGCAUCAGAAUUCACUUCAUCAACAACAGAAAUAUAUUCAUCCAGUGCAGAGAAAACAACAAGCCAACAGGCACAAACCACUCAGAUUAGUUCUAUCACAGAAACUGGACAUACUACAGCACAAUCAAUAUUCACAACAGUUAUGACCCCAACAAGCAUGUCCACAUUAAAAUCGACUACAUCUGAAAGUGGUUCAACACUGGAAACUAUAAUAUCUAGAAGUACUUCUUUAGCUCCAUCUUCACUAUUUACUACAACAGAAGGACAAACUUCCCCUAAUCCUCAAACAAUAUCCCCAGCUGUUACAGCCCAAACAUUUAGCAUUUUUACAUCAUCCCAGUCGAGCCCUUCUGCUUCAACUAGUACCCAGAAAACUUCAUCAACAUCAACAGAACCUCAUUCAUCUUCAACAACUCUCAACUCAGUUUCAACAACUCAAAACUGUCUGGAGAAUUGUCAGUGUCAUGGGUCCCCAUGCAUCUUCAAUGUAACAUCUGGGAAAUGUCAGUGUCAAUGCAGUUCUUUCACUUUUGGAGAGUAUUGCAAUUUUGCAUAUGACUUAUCCACAGUUUUUUGGUGUGAGUAUUUAUCAUACUACUAUUCCUAAAUGAUCAUUAUUUAUUUGUUUAUGAUUUAACGCCAUUCGAGCUACCUUGGCUCAUUUCAUGGCGAGAAUGAGGUUAGUUAAAUUAAGUUUUUAAUUUGAUCUUUAAGGAAGUUCUAAGCAACCAUGCAUUAUUAUAUUUUUUUCUUUCUUGUUUUCUCAUGAUCACAACUUAAUUUUCUUGUGAUCUCGACAUAGCGAGUUGUUUUCUCGUUAUCAUGACUUAUUUUUCUCGUGAUCUUAUCAUAACAAUGGCUGUUCUCUAAGUUGCACAACUACACCAACUGGUGGCAGUAUAGAACUAUUGAUGGGGAGUUCUAUACUGUAUAUCCACUAGAUAUGCAUGGUGAGUCUACUGUUGCUAUAGUAACGUAUGCAACCUUGACAGUUACAUUCUAAAAGGCUUAACCUGGCUAUGGGCUUAAUGCGUUAAUUGACCAUAUGCACGGAGCGCUAUUUAGAACUUCCGGAUAAAGAUAAGCCAGCUCAUAAUCUUCCAGUGAAGCUCAUUUUAUAUGUGCUAUACAUUGGUAGAGACUCUCACAGAAACCUCUCCUGCCUUAUUCUUAUCAGAAACUGAGAAACAAAACAAUUGCAACAACGUAAAUAAUGAUAGCGGAAUUAACAUACAGUUUCAUGUUAUUAAAGAACAUAUAAUUUUAUAUGCAGAGUCUGGUAAUCCCAGGAAAGUACCCAGACACAUAACUGUACAUUUGAAUGCUGACAGAUAAACUCUAUCAUAACUGUUUAUGCAGUUAAGCUAAUCUCUUAAACGACAUCGUAAUGGUAUUCUCGAUAAUCAAUCUCUUACCUUCAUAGUCAUUUUUUAAAUAUUAUAAAAAUGUAAAGCAUUUAUUAUUUCUCAAUGCUGUGCAGUAAAAUUUUCAUUAUUAAAGGUUCACUUUCUAAUUUACGAAGACGACAUGAAGAAAUGUGUUAAAAACGUGUCUCGGCG